UCUAAAGGGCACCUAUACAAGCAUUUCGACGGUCAUAGCUAACAGCAAUACUGGCAGGAGUUUACCUUGGAGCUGGCCAGACUGCUUAAAACUGGCCUUAAGCAGCUUUUUUUUUGAAAAAAAUAAACAAACGACUGAAUAAUAUGGCGCGGAUUGGGAAGAAAUCAAACACCUUUGGAUAGGACGAGAAUUUCGACCCUUUAUUUUAGGCCAACCCUAACCGCCCUGAUAUGGAAGAAACCCAUAUGCCUGUGCCUAUCGAAGGUGGUUCAGUUUUGCUGUAGGUCGUGCCAUUAUCUGGGCCUGUGGGCAUUGCAUGAAAUUGACAAGAUUACGCUGGUCUUAGCGAAGCACAGGUCCUACAUGUUGAUAUUGCAUGCAGUACGCAGCUGCUGGAAUUACCAAUAACAGAAUUCGAAAGCCCUUUCACAGAAUUCCGCACGUCAAUUGCAGUCGGCCGCUUGCCUACAGGCCUACCGAGGACGCUCACCCACUCGGAAUUCAUUCGGCAACGGUAGGAGCCAAGCCUGAACGUCGAACAUAGCGUUUCUUGGACAGGGCGUGGAAGGA
Varroa destructor (honeybee mite) is the source of this 570-nucleotide long non-coding RNA. RefSeq lists it as uncharacterized. NCBI's taxonomy places the organism in Eukaryota, Metazoa, Arthropoda, Arachnida, Mesostigmata, Varroidae. The record is from RefSeq and is a predicted model, not a curated record.